RNAcentral lists this ribosomal RNA (1623 nucleotides) under Triticum aestivum (bread wheat). Its description in RNAcentral is "partial small subunit ribosomal RNA". The record is from RNAcentral. Lineage: Eukaryota; Viridiplantae; Streptophyta; Magnoliopsida; Poales; Poaceae.
AUGCCUAAGGAGCAAGCGACGGCCUCCCGCAGGCGGAAGGCGGCGCCCGAGGCGCGUGGCAGCGAGGGGAUCGACGCUCUGCCGGGCGAGGUCCUGCAGCAUGUGCUGUCCUUCUUGCCGGUGGCGGAGGCCGUGCAGACCUGCGUGCUGGCUCGGGGCUGGCGCGACCUCUGGAAGUCCAUGCCGGUCCUGCGCAUCACCUGCGAGGGGAGGAUUCUGAACCGGCGGGGCGUCAGGAGGCUCAACAAGUUUGUGAACCACCUGCUGCUGCUCCGCGACCGCAGCGCGCCUCUGCAUGCGUGUGAGAUAGAGCUCAGUACUUUCCAUAGCCAGGAUGAACCGCAGGUCAACUUAUGGACCCGACAUGCUCUCUUGUGCCAAGCUCGAGUCCUCAGUGUUCAUUUAAGCCGUGAUAACAAUAGCUUCGAGCUGCUGGAGGACCUGCCUCUCGUCUCUCCGCACUUGACGAGGUUGGAGCUUUGCAACGUAGUGUUAAAUGAUAGCAUUCUGAAUUUUUCGAGCUGCCCAGCGCUGGAAGAACUAUGGAUGAGGGGUUGCUACAUCCAAGCUGAUAUGAUCAUGUCCCUGUCCCUAAAACGCCUCACCAUCCUUGACUGCAUAUUUUAUCCAAAUGAACGGACUCGGAUUUCUGUCCCGAGUCUAGUUGCACUGGAAUUAAUUGAAUGUUGGGGGAGGACUCCUUUGCUUGAAAGCAUGCCAUCGUUAGUAACAGGUUCUAUUAAGCUUGCCGACUGUGAUGAUUGUUGUGGUAAAGAAGCUGGUGGUUCGUGUGUAGAUGAUACCUGUGAAAAUUGUGGUUCCAAUGGUGAUGGCAGUGGAGAUUGUGUGCUUCUCAGUGGUUUGUCAGAUGCUAAAAGCUUGGAGUUGAUAGCUGAACCUUGUGCGUUUAUUCUCAAAAGAGAUUUGAUGUGGUGCCCAACCUUUAGCAAGUUAAAAACCUUGUUACUCAAUGAUUGGUGUAUGAAGGCCAAUCUUGGUGCACUCAUGUGCUUUCUCCAGCAUACACCUGUUCUCGAGAAGCUUACUAUCCAGCUUUGUCAGGCACCCAGCAGUUGGAUGGGGACUGAAGGAAGCUACAAUCUGACGGGACAACCGUUUGCAUCUAGCAAGCUUAAGGUACUUGAAAUCAAGUGUGAGAAGAUUGAUGAGAGGGUUCACAGAAUUUUAACGUUCUUGAGUACCUAUAGCAUACAUGUUGAGCAAAUCAAUAUCCAGCAGAGUAUUGGAUCUUCUGAAGAGCCCAAGGAUUUUCCUCAGGAACCCAGAGCUGGACCUUCUCAAGCGCGAACUCCGCGUGUGUUGCCCUCGCAGAAUGCUCAGUUGAGGAGCAUGGCUGAGCAGAUUGUAGUCAGGCAGGAGCAGAUCGAAGUUGAGCAACAGCAGAUCCUAGCGCAUCUGGGGCAGAUCCAAGUUGAACAGCAGCAGAUCCUAGCGCAUCAGGAGGAGAUCCAAGUUGAGCAGCAGCAGAUCAUAGCUGGGCAGCAGCAGCAGAGGCACCUCUUGACUCGGAUCUUAGCCUGGCUCCAGGAACAUUCAGCUCGGAAGACUCCACCAGCUGCUCCUUGUGCUGCUGGCUCAGCUCACACAGCGGGUCUUGAGUGA